This 72-nucleotide transfer RNA is filed under the name Bos taurus (domestic cattle). It matches the Rfam family "tRNA". Rfam says of the family: Transfer RNA (tRNA) molecules are approximately 80 nucleotides in length. Lineage: Eukaryota; Metazoa; Chordata; Mammalia; Artiodactyla; Bovidae. RNAcentral also lists the same sequence under 5 other names. The record is from Rfam by way of RNAcentral.
UCCCUGAUAGCUCAGUUGGUAAAGAAUCUGCCUGCAAUGCAGGAAACCUUGGUUCAAUUCCUGGGUUGAGAA